UGGGGAAUUUUGGACAAUGGGCGAAAGCCUGAUCCAGCAAUGCCGCGUGUGUGAAGAAGGCCUUCGGGUUGUAAAGCACUUUUGUCCGGAAAGAAAUCCUUGGCUCUAAUACAGUCGGGGGAUGACGGUACCGGAAGAAUAAGCACCGGCUAACUACGUGCCAGCAGCCGCGGUAAUACGUAGGGUGCAAGCGUUAAUCGGAAUUACUGGGCGUAAAGCGUGCGCAGGCGGUUUGCUAAGACCGAUGUGAAAUCCCCGGGCUCAACCUGGGAACUGCAUUGGUGACUGGCAGGCUAGAGUAUGGCAGAGGGGGGUAGAAUUCCACGUGUAGCAGUGAAAUGCGUAGAGAUGUGGAGGAAUACCGAUGGCGAAGGCAGCCCUCGCAGGUCAAUCUGACGCUCAUGCACGAAAGCGUGGGGAGCAAACAGGAUUAGAUACCCUGGUAGUCCACGCCCUAAA
This 459-nucleotide ribosomal RNA is filed under the name uncultured bacterium. RNAcentral's name for it is "partial 16S ribosomal RNA". It matches the Rfam family "Bacterial small subunit ribosomal RNA", at positions 355 to 806 of the family's 1533-position model. The record is from RNAcentral.